UACGUAGGGGGCAAGCGUUAUCCGGAAUCAUUGGGCGUAAAGCGCGUGUAGGCGGUUCCGUAAGUCCGCUCUGAAAGCCCAGGGCUCAACCCUGGGAGGCGGGUGGAUACUACGGAACUGGAGUACGGAAGAGGAGAUUGGAAUUCCUGGUGUAGCGGUGAAAUGUGCAGAUAUCAGGAGGAACACCAACAGCGAAGGCAGAUCUCUGGGACGUUACUGACGCUGAGACGCGAAAGCGUGGGGAGCAAACAGG
Molecule: ribosomal RNA, 253 nt
Filed under: uncultured bacterium
Lineage: Bacteria
Description: partial 16S ribosomal RNA
Rfam family: Bacterial small subunit ribosomal RNA
Source: RNAcentral